ACUUUAAUUGAAGAGUUUGAUCAUGGCUCAGAUUGAACGCUGGCGGCAGGCCUAACACAUGCAAGUCGAGCGGUAACAUUUCAAAAGCUUGCUUUUGAAGAUGACGAGCGGCGGACGGGUGAGUAAUGCCUGGGAAUUUGCCCAUUUGUGGGGGAUAACAGUUGG
RNAcentral lists this ribosomal RNA (165 nucleotides) under Shewanella algae. RNAcentral's name for it is "partial 16S ribosomal RNA". It matches the Rfam family "Bacterial small subunit ribosomal RNA", at positions 1 to 153 of the family's 1533-position model. Lineage: Bacteria; Pseudomonadati; Pseudomonadota; Gammaproteobacteria; Alteromonadales; Shewanellaceae. The record is from RNAcentral.